AGCCUCGAACCAGCCAAGUCGCGUGCAGGAAGUAAUGUUCUUACGGCAUUGUAAACUUGCUUUUGUAGAGGAGUAAUGUCAGCUACGCGUAGCUGAGGUGCAAGUACUCUACGAAUAAGUAUCGGCUAACUCCGUGCCAGCAGCCGCGGUAAUACGGAGGAUACGAGCGUUAUCCGGAUUUAUUGGGUUUAAAGGGUGCCGUAGGUUGCUGAUUAAGUCAGUGGUUGAAAAGCUGCAGCUCAACCUGUAGUCCUGCCGUUUGAAACUGAUUGGCUAGAGGAGGAAGACCAAGGGUAUGUUGGGAAUGGUGUGGGUGUAAGCGGUGAAAAAUGCCC
Molecule: ribosomal RNA, 335 nt
Filed under: Porphyromonas sp. cp62.16
Lineage: Bacteria; Pseudomonadati; Bacteroidota; Bacteroidia; Bacteroidales; Porphyromonadaceae
Description: bacterial SSU rRNA
Rfam family: Bacterial small subunit ribosomal RNA
Source: RNAcentral